GUUAAAAAGCUCGUAGUUGGAUUUCUGUUGAGGACGGCCGGUCCGCAUUAUGUGCGUGUAUCUGGUUCGGCCUUGGCAUCCUCCAGGGGAACGUUCCUGCGCUUCGCUGCGUGGGACGGUAUUCUGGACUUUUACUUUGAGGAAAUUAGAGUGUUCACGGCAGGCAGUCGCCUUGAAUAUAUUAGCAUGGAAUAAUAAUAUAGGACCUUGAUUCUAUUUUGUUGGUUUCUAGAAUUUAGGUAAUGAUUAAUAGGGACAAUUGGGGGCAUUUGUAUUAACACGUCAGAGGUGGAAUUCUUGGAUUGUGUUACGACAAACUACUGCGAAAGCAUUUGCCGAGGAUGUUUUCAUUGAUCAAGAACGAAAGUAAGGGGAUCGAAGACGAUUAGAUACCGUCGUAGUCUUUACCAUAAACUAUGCCAACUAGAGAUUGGAGGUCGUUCUUUUUAUGACUCCUUCAGCACCUUAUGAGAAAUCAAAGUCUUUGGGUUCCGGGGGGAGUAUGGUCGCAAGGCUGAAACUUAAAGGAAUUGACGGAAGGGCACCACCAGGAGUGGAGCCUGCGCCUUAAUUUGACUCACCACCGGAAAACUCACCAGGUCCAGACAUAGUAAGGAUUGACAGAUUGAUAGCUCUUUCU
This 640-nucleotide ribosomal RNA is filed under the name uncultured marine eukaryote. RNAcentral describes it as "SSU rRNA". It matches the Rfam family "Eukaryotic small subunit ribosomal RNA", at positions 618 to 1262 of the family's 1831-position model. The record is from RNAcentral.